AACGAACGUUGGCGGCGUGGAUUAGGCAUGCAAGUCGAACGCGAAUCCCUGGGCAACUGGGGAGGAGAGUGGCGAAAGGGGCAGUAAGGCGUGGGUAACCUACCCUCCGGGCCGGGAUAGCUUCGGGAAACUGAAGGUAAUACCAGGCGACGCAGCGAGAUCGCAUGGUCUUGCUGCCAAAGGUCCGCCGCCGGGGGAGGGGCUCACGUGGUAUUAGCUAGACGGCGGGGUAACGGCCCACCGUGGCAAAGAUGCCUAGCAGGUGUGAGAGCACGACCUGGGCCACGGGCACUGGGACACUGGCCAGACACCUACGGGUGGCUGCAGUAGAGGAUCUUCGGCAAUGGGCGCAAGCCUGACCGAGCGACGCCGCGUGUGCGAUGAAGGCCUUCGGGUUGUAAAGAACUGUCGAGGGGGAGGAAGCCGCAAGGUUGACCUAUCCCUGGAGGAAGCACGGGCUAAGUUCGAG
RNAcentral lists this ribosomal RNA (469 nucleotides) under uncultured bacterium. RNAcentral's name for it is "partial 16S ribosomal RNA". It matches the Rfam family "Bacterial small subunit ribosomal RNA", at positions 28 to 507 of the family's 1533-position model. The record is from RNAcentral.